GACGAACGCUGGCGGCGUGCUUAACACAUGCAAGUCGAACGGAAAGGCCCCUUCGGGGGUCCUCGAGUGGCGAACGGGUGAGUAACACGUGAGUAACCUGCCCUUGACUUCGGGAUAACUUCAGGAAACUGGGGCUAAUACCGGAUAGGAAUCCUUGCUGCAUGGUGGGGGUUGGAAAGCUUCGGCGGUUUUGGAUGGACUCGCGGCUUAUCAGCUUGUUGGUGGGGUAGUGGCUUACCAAGGCUAUGACGGGUAGCCGGCCUGAGAGGGCGACCGGCCACAUUGGGACUGAGAUACGGCCCAGACUCCUACGGGAGGCAGCAGUGGGGAAUAUUGCACAAUGGGCGGAAGCCUGAUGCAGCAACGCCGCGUGCGGGAUGACGGCCUUCGGGUUGUAAACCGCUUUCAGCAGGGGCGAAGCUUGUGGUGACGGUACCUGCAGAAGAAGCACCGGCUAACUACGUG
RNAcentral lists this ribosomal RNA (465 nucleotides) under uncultured bacterium. Its description in RNAcentral is "partial 16S ribosomal RNA". It matches the Rfam family "Bacterial small subunit ribosomal RNA", at positions 28 to 507 of the family's 1533-position model. The record is from RNAcentral.